CGGGACACGUGGUAUCCUGUCUGAAUAUGGGGGGACCAUCCUCCAAGGCUAAAUACUCCUGACUGACCGAUAGUGAACCAGUACCGUGAGGGAAAGGCGAAAAGAACCCCGGCGAGGGGAGUGAAAAAGAACCUGAAACCGUGUACGUACAAGCAGUGGGAGCACGCUUAGGCGUGUGACUGCGUACCUUUUGUAUAAUGGGUCAGCGACUUAUAUUCUGUAGCAAGGUUAACCGAAUAGGGGAGCCGAAGGGAAACCGAGUCUUAACUGGGCGUUAAGUUGCAGGGUAUAGACCCGAAACCCGGUGAUCUAGCCAUGGGCAGGUUGAAGGUUGGGUAACACUAACUGGAGGACCGAACCGACUAAUGUUGAAAAAUUAGCGGAUGACUUGUGGCUGGGGGUGAAAGGCCAAUCAAACCGGGAGAUAGCUGGUUCUCCCCGAAAGCUAUUUAGG
This 454-nucleotide ribosomal RNA is filed under the name Escherichia coli. Its description in RNAcentral is "partial 23S ribosomal RNA". It matches the Rfam family "Bacterial large subunit ribosomal RNA", at positions 418 to 874 of the family's 2925-position model. Lineage: Bacteria; Pseudomonadati; Pseudomonadota; Gammaproteobacteria; Enterobacterales; Enterobacteriaceae. The record is from RNAcentral.